CGUGUGCACACCCUGCUGGGGGCCGUGUGCAUUGUUGUUUACUCCUGCUGUUUACCUCAGACAUUCUUCUGCACUCACUCAGGGAAGGGGUAGGGGGUUAACAGACAACACGCCAACAGUUUAAGGAACCAAAUAACAUUAACAGGUUGUCCAGAUUCCUGUCGUGCUGCCUCCAGACACCGCCAGCUGCCCCUGCCAGAGCUGUGCAGAGCCCGGCGGGUCCUGAUGUCUUUGACAGCUCCUAUCGGCUGGUUUCCUGAGGGUUCCUGGGCCGUGAGGAGCCACCUGGCUGCAUGUGCCUGCUACCGCCAGAGACCCGCCUGUCUCCAUGCUGAGCUCACAGAAAGGAGGGCUCUUUGAGGAAAGGACGGGAGCAGAAGGAAGUGGCUGCCUAUUGUCAAAAGUUUGCAAGUCAGAUGUCACCCGGAUAACACUGCUCUUGGGCAAGGAGGAUAGAGCACAGCACCUCCUGUGUGUCUGGGGCAAGCUGUGGGGAGUUAAUAGAGCAGGCAUCUCACCCCGCUGGCUGGGGCGUGUUCCGACAUAGGGCAGCAGUAUUCCCUCCCGCCGUAGCAGAUAACACUGGUGAGGGGAAGCAGCCUGCAGCAGAGAGGGAGUGCUGAGUAGACAGGAGGAUGUGUGCCCAUGCUGAUGAGAAGUGGACCAGGCUAGGAAUAUGCCACCCUGGCGGCUGUCUGUCCAUUCUGGUCCGGACACUGCACAUGGCUACAGCUGCUCUGCACUCCUGUCAGCCUGUGGGAAGCAUGUUCGGCACAGCGGAAGUUUGCAGCAUGUGUCGAGGCGUUGUUCAGACCCCAGGGCCGUAGUCCGGACACUUUGCUCUGGUUUCUUUGCAGAGGAUUAGUGGUGUGUUUUAAUGAUUGUGUUUGUGUCUGACCUCUGAAGGUGACAUGACCUCACCUGAAUUUAUGGCACCACAUGAUUCUUCUGUUUGCUACCAACACUCAAUUAAAUUUC
Pelodiscus sinensis (Chinese soft-shelled turtle) is the source of this 978-nucleotide long non-coding RNA. RefSeq lists it as uncharacterized. NCBI's taxonomy places the organism in Eukaryota, Metazoa, Chordata, Testudines, Trionychidae. The record is from RefSeq and is a predicted model, not a curated record.